RNA transcript from Panicum virgatum (switchgrass), 2823 nucleotides. RefSeq lists it as uncharacterized. NCBI's taxonomy places the organism in Eukaryota, Viridiplantae, Streptophyta, Magnoliopsida, Poales, Poaceae. The transcript is spliced from 6 exons. The record is from RefSeq and is a predicted model, not a curated record.
CCCUGUUGCAAAUCCCCCUAUGUUUAGCUUGGAUUACCUCACUGAAUUUCUAAUUUGCAGGUUGCGUGCGCGUGCCCGGGGAUGAGGAAGAGGAUGGCGUCGACGGACCUGGAGUACGAGUUCAACUGGGACGGCAAUGAGUCGCAGUAUGACGCCCAGUCACUCCACGGCCACAUGGCCUACGGCCGUGGAGGCGACCUUAACAGCGUCCAGCAGCCUUUCCAGCUGAGGCCUGGUAUUUUACUCUAUUGCAUGAUCACCAUAUUUGCUGCCAGUCCUAACGGAUCUACACAAGUAUGGCUCCACAUCUUUACUGAGUUGGAGAUUCGUACUCCUGCGAGUUCCAAAUCGGAGAUACAAAUCUCUGUUAGAUUGACUUCAUCAUACCUGGCAGCCAAUGUCUCAACUAAAUUGAGCCUAAAAAAUAAUCACUAACCAAGGAACCAAUGAUGAAACACUACUUUCCAAGCAAAGCAAGAGUCUUUAUCCACUUAAUCCUCGCUUCUGCCAAUUAGCGGUACAACCUUCUAUGUACCUUCUGGUUUAAUAUGGUUGCCGGCCUAAUUUCAUCUUAGUUGUUUUGUUUGCCGUUCUGCCUAUGUUUUCUUUAUAGCUUAUACUCUUCCUUUUUAUUUACCCUUUUAACAUUAACAUCCAAGGAUUCAUUUUCUUGCUUGUAGAUCUAACUUCAUUUGAUUGCUUUGCAUUUAUGUAUACCGCCCAGUAUUCCACCUCUAUUAUGCUUCCACAUACACUCUGUGUGUCUAAAGAUACAAUGAAAACCUGAAGAUUCAUGUAUUGAUUGAUUCGCCUUUCAUGGCCAAGUUUAACUUUAGGUAUAAAUUUUCAUGAUACAAGUUCUGCCAGGUGAAAGAAAAUUUGAUUUGCUUACAACUCUACUGUGGUAUUGGAAUCUGCAGCUUCUUUAUCGUUGGCUGGUUUUUAUUCUGCAGAUUGAUAGCAUCAUGUCUACAAAGCUACAUCAUGAGAAUGACACUAGCAUGCGAUUGAAAUUUGAAUUCCUUAUUCAUUUGAUCGGGUGUCAUCGAACCAAUUGUUUAAUUAUGCUUUGUUUUACCUUGUGUUUGCCCUACAGUGCAAUAUUUAUGAUAUUAAUUUUGAAAUCCCAUGCUGAAGCUUUUCUUUCAAAAGGACAGUAACUUUUAGUUUGGUAAUUGAUGUUGCUUGAUUCACUGCUGUUUAGGGUUCAAUAUCCUGUACUUAUAUUUUUGUUUGAUGGCAAUUCUUUGUCUAGGGGCUACUGAUAAACCUCAAGAGUUGGAUGGUGUUGUUCUGCCUCAAGAGUUGGUUGAUGAUGUUAUUCGAAGACUGGUAAGAUUUAUCCCGACAUAUAUGGAGUGUUACUGUUUUUUUGUUGGGCUAAUAGUUUAUGCUGCAUGCAUGAAAGAUGCACCUGUUUCCUAGACAUUUUUGCCUCAGUCUAUUGUGGUAACCUGAUAGUACUUGCUGAAACUGACAAUGACAGAGAACCGCUUCACAAAUUAUACUAGCAGUUUUUUUGUGUUUGCCAGUACUUUCUUUUAGUAAAUUAGAUGGCUACUAUAGAAUCGUCUAUUCAUGUUCAAAAUAAGAUAUGUAUAUAUGCAUCCAAAACAUCUACUUUCAGGAUUGGGUACUUUGCCUAUUUUACUGGUGAUGCGACAUGUAAUUCAGCCAAAUUGUUGUGUCACUAUUCUGUUCUAAUGUUGUUUUAGUCAGUGAAUGAGCCACGGGGUGGUAGAUGGGCCUUGGGAACAUUGUUGGAGCUUCUUAACUCAACUGCUGCCAGGAAUUUUUUUCUGAUAAAAAGUAUAUCUGCUACCAUUCAAAUAAAAAAAUUGUGCAACUGCCAAGAAACACCAAAAAAAAUACAAAUUCUAUGUACUUUACUGUCCCUUAAACAAUUAUAUAUCUAACUACUCUGUAGCUAUAAAAUAAUUAUCAAUGAGAUAUGUACAUAGCUUUAUGUGCUUCUACCUUACUUUCCCUGGAUCAGACAUCAAAAUAAUACUUUGUUAAGUAGUCUAUUAUUACAUAAUCUAUUAGAUAUAGAUAAUAAGGAUAAUCAGUAGUUUAGCUUAAAAUAUCCGGGUGCGCCAAGGCGCGCACAAAGCACUUCUCUCUUAUAGCAAUACUACCACGUAUGUUAUUAUAUUUAUAAUUUCAACCAUGGCUCUUCCCUAGUAGAACGGGAACAACAAGAAGACUCCGACAUGGUCAGACAAUGCGAUAGAGCUAUAUUUGAAGCUCAAGUAGAAGAUGAAAGAAGAAACAAUAAUCCACCCACUUUUCAUGGCUUUGCAUACUCUGGAGAAACUUCAGAUGAGGAAGACCUCAAUGACACCUACUAUUAUGCAGUUUAGCAUACAUUUCUUUUACUAGCCUGAAAUAACAAAACUACUUUAUAACAUAUACUUUAUAACAAAACUAUACAUAUUGAUUUGUGAAUUAUAUGCUUUUCCAAAAUUACAGACUCCGUGAACCAAAAAAUUGGUAAUCUAACAUACCAGGUGCAUAUUCAUUCUACAACCUUAUAGUCCCUUUUUUUUGUUUUGCUUUUUCUUUUAAAAAAGGAAACUAAUACUGACUUCUUAAUUCGCAGCCCCUCCAAAAGCACAAGACAUCGAGACCUUCCCAUCUGAAGCAAGUGGAAAAAAGCAAAAUCAUUCCCAAGACCCCAACUUAUCUCCUAUUUCUAUGUCUUUACUUAUGUAUGUUUAUAAAAUUAUGGGCUUAUAUAUAAUAUAACUAGAUAUCUACAUCUGAACUCGCUAGCCUAUGAAAAUAUUGUGCAUAUUAUUAAAUUAUACUACCCUAUCAUUA